UCGCUGUCUUCAAGUAUUUGAAACAGACAGCUACAAAUGAGGCGAUUUUGUGCAGUUCCGAAUUGCGGGAAAAUUCAUAGCAAAAGUUGUCACAGACUUCCUUUUAACGAUCCAGAAAGGCUAAACUUGUGGCUGGAAUUUCUGGGGUUGGAUGUGAGCACACCUGUUGAGAAUCUGCAGAAAACUGAUCACCGUGUCUCUGCGGUCUGCAUUUUACUGAACUUCUUCGCCUGAGAAAUACAGCGGUUCCCACAUUACCUCCUGGGACGACAGAGUUGGAAGAACUUGGGGGACUUUCCUCCAUUUCAGAUGAAAGAUGGCAGGACUCUAACUCAUCUCCCCCUCUUCAAUGGUAUCAGCCGUGGUGUUGACAGAGGUCAAAGUCCAUGGUGAAAUAUAAGAGAUGUCCUGCACGACAGAGACAGUGGGACUCCCUGUCACAGUGGAAUUUCCACAUUGGUCAGUCAUUUCACACAAAACAAGGACACCAUGGAUCCUCACCUGCCAGGGAUUACUGCUGCCAGCUUUCCUUCCUUUCUUUAGCCAACCUGGUGGCUGGUGACUCAUACAGUUAUUAGUAGUAUGAAAUUUUGUCAAAUAUAUAAUAUACCGGUAACUUUUCACAAAAAGUGUCCACUAUAAUGAAAACAAGUACACAAAUUUGCACAAACAUUCAGCAGUUACUCCCACCAUGCAGGAAACACAUACACACAUGGCAACAGACAGACACACACACAAACACAAACAGCAGCAACAGAGGUCUUAGUCAUCCCUGACAUACAAAUCCCUGUCUUAAAUUUUCAUUAAAAGGAAAAUGCUCAGUCUGAAAGGGCUACAUCGGCUGCCCAGGGCCAAACACACACACACACACAUACAGUGGCCGUCCUACAUACUGUAUCAUGAGUCACCAUCUCCAGAGCUCCAUGUGUUUGGGCUUACUGGUGUGUGUGUACUGUAUGUCUGUGUGUGUGUGUGUGUGUGUGUGUGUGUGUGUGUGUGUUUCCCUGGGAGUAAUUUGGAGGAGGUCAGCAGAAGGGGAGAGUAGAGGAGAGAUAGAGAUAGAGUCAAAGAGGGAGAAAUAGAAGCAGGGAGAUAUGGGAGAGCAGAUGAAGGUGGAGAGGACCAGAUGUGGAGGAUGGAGAUGAGCACAGCUCUGAGGUAUGGACACUGUGUAUGGAAAGAAAGAUGCCAUGAGAGAGAUACUGUAUGAAGACAUAAUAAUAUGUAAUAACACCACUAUCUUCUCCUUACUGGUGGUUUCCAUUGUAUUUAAAUUACACAGAAUGACACCUUUUGCUUGUGAAUAAUUGUUCCAGCAUGUGAGUUAGUGUAUCUGUUUCAUUCCAGUUUGAAUGGUGUAUAAAUUAUGUGUCCGAAUGCAUCACUGUGAUGGGUGAAUAAAGCGUCUGCUCUCUGUGUUAGUGUUCACAGGGUCAGAAUGACUCUCUCGAGGCCAGCUGGAGUCAAUGCUUAAGGAGGAGAUGAAAAGGGACAAAAGAGAGAGAGAGAGAGAGAGAGAGAUAACGCACUCUUUUCUUAAAGAAGGAGCAGAACACAAGGUCUGGCCCUGUUGAAGAUGGGCGACCAAAGUGUACCAUGACGUGCAGAGAGAACAAUGUUCAUCUCACCAACAAAAGUUGACCUUGGAGGUUUCAUGACCAGCAAUGUUCUUCUCAACAAAGCAAGUUGGCGUUUGGAAGUUUGGUUGGACUUUUUUGGUCAGGAAGGUGACACACCAGACCGCCACAGAGAGCAUUAUAAACGGAGAAAAAACGUCACAGAUGAUUCACCCAAGUUAUUUUUGUAUUGCCAAAAGGCAGCUCUUCAUUUUUUUUCUCAUUGACUGUAGUGCUGCAACUGUUUCAGCUACCAUGCAGAGGAUGUGACAUUUCCCUUUUUCCAGAAAGAUCCAGAGCAGACAGCAGAAAUUACAACCAAAGCUUGUUCUCAUUCGGGGAUUGGCAUGGCCCAUGUAAGUUUUGUGCAAUGAGUCACUGGAAAACUGGGACCCCGAAUGACUGGCCCUCCUGCUUUAACUGCGGGCAUCCCUCAGGGGAUUCUAAUUUUGCACAAAGUAACCCUGACCCUGGCCUGGUUCACCUCUCGUUUCAACUAUGGCUGUAAAGCUGAGUUCAAAUCAAGACGUGGCUUUUCGCAGUUUGCCUGCUCAGCGGAGCAGUUGCUCAUCACUUGCCUCCUAUAAUGAUAGCAGGCAACAGAUAACAGCUGUCUCAGGAGUGGCCCGCGGUCUGACCCGGCUUCGAUCUGCUUCAGCGGCUCCGAGUCUGUCCCAGAGUCAGCAGCAAACUGGGUUACCAGUAUCCAGAGACCAUUUAUAGUUUAUAAAACAAAAGAGAGAGAAAACAGCGAUUCAGAGAUGAAGGGAAGCUGAAACAUCUCUGACCAGAAUCCUUGCUCUAUGGAGACAGGGUGGAGUAGAUGCUGUUAGGAAAUGGAGCUUGGCUCCUGCACCUGCACGCACAUAAUGAAGAGCUGGUUCCUUGGAAACCCACCACAAGCAAAAAGGUCACUUCAGUUUCCUCUGAACAGAUGAAUAUGUGUGCUACAAAUCAAGGCUUGUUUUGUGUGUCCAGUUCCACGUCUUAUAUCCAGUACUCUCCUUUUUUAUAUCUUUAUAUCAGAUUCAAGUGAUUUCAGAUUAUUUGAUCAUAACACUCCCAAAAACAGAAAUCUAUAAGACAUGAUAUGAUUAUUACUGAAGUAUACCACUAACCCAGUAAUGCUUUGUGAGUUUGGCCAAAGGAAUACAUUUUUCACUGGUUUGACCAAUAGCUUAAUCUUAGGCGGGCCAGCACUCCCACACACCACAUGGUAGCUUCAGUUCAUACAUGAGACAUUUUGAUCAUUGCCUGAAUUUGCUCUUUGAUGGCCAUUGAAAUGAAGGGUGCAGUAGGUAAUGGGUCUCUAACCUGCUGAGGAGCUAGCUUUGACCAAUCAUGGUGCAUGUGUGAGGGACCAAAGCUGCUCUAAGCAAUGCUGGGCAACGUCACUUCUGUUGACUUUCAAACAAAACAGACAGCUAGCUCCCUACUUCCUCCCCCUCCCUCCCGUGCUG
Alosa alosa (allis shad) is the source of this 3076-nucleotide long non-coding RNA. RefSeq lists it as uncharacterized. NCBI's taxonomy places the organism in Eukaryota, Metazoa, Chordata, Actinopteri, Clupeiformes, Clupeidae. The record is from RefSeq and is a predicted model, not a curated record. The transcript has 3 exons.